CCUAUCCCUGAAAGAGUUAAUCAAACAGCAUUAAUAUGCCAUUGGAAUGUUGUUUUUUUUUCUUUUUCUUUUAGGAACGGGAGAGGAUUUACCUUGGUUUUAAAAAGAAAAACCACCACAAAGUUGUCCAUGCUGUCAGUGGCACUUGUUCGAGAUUUGCAUUGCUGACUACCGACCCCAAAAGAGUUAACCGAGUAGGUGUGACUAAGCAGCAGAGAAAAAGAUGCAAUCGUGAGAGGUUUGGAACCAAAGCAAAAAAACGGAGGUGAGGAGCAUUAAUAAAAACAAGAAAAGGGCAGAGGUGCAGAGUCCAGCAGUGACUGACUUUCUUGAUUUGACUGGCCCUGGCAUUGUUGGCAUCAGCUCUCCUGGGAAAGCUGCAGUUCCGCUGUUAUAACACAGGGAGCAGCCUGGAGAAUUUUGAGCUGCGUCACAGAGCUCUGAGAGAGAGAGUGAGUGUGAGAGAGAGAGCAAGCUCCCUCGAUAGGUCUACUAGCAACAGCCCUGCUGCAGCAAGGGGGGAGAGAGAGAGGCAGCAAGAGAGAGAGAGACAGAAGUAAUAACAUCAUGGACUGGGCUCCUGCAACCGGCCAGCUUAAUUUUUAAAAAAUUUAUUUUGGCUUAAUUGAUAUUGGAGGGUUCGCCCAUUGACGAUGCUGGAGACACGAUGCGUUUAAUCCCGCGGGGAGGGAGGGUGGGCAGACGUCGGAAGGGUUAACGGGAGGAAAAUUCUGGAACAUUCUAUUCUGCGGCGCUGCACAGCGAGCGAGCGAAGGGCUAAGGACUGCGCAGAUGUUUAACGGGCAGAGGUCUUCGGCUCGGGGUCCGUCUUUUCCACUUUCAGUUAUGCAAAGUAACAAAAAGCAAGGGAAGAAUGUGACAAACUCUUGGAGGUGGUUUGUUAUGUUAUUUAUGCAAAUAACACUGCCAGAACCAAGUAUUUCGUAGCUUGAAUUACUUCAGUGACAGAGAUCGAUCUUGGAAUAACUGUGCUCAUGCCCAGAGAGAGUUACCUUCCACAGCAGGGUGGACCAUCAACCACCUCCUGCAAGGUCAUUCUGCUGUCUCACCAUCAGCCACUAACAGUGCUGCCUGACCUCAUGGACAUCCUGUAUUAGAUGCUCAAGCAAGCCACAGACUUUGGAAAGAACCGCAUCAGCUAUCAGAGAUUCCUCUUUUCAUGAAAGGAAACUUGAUGAUGGUUACCAUACUGCAUGGUGCUAGCCAUAACUAUGGACUCUGGAAGAGGAAGGUGACGAGCAGAGGUAAUUUCCAGGGAAGGAAAGGAAGAAAAAUGAUCUGCAGAGAAAGAUAUGAGACAAUCCAAUGGCUGGAGGUUGAAGCUAGACUGAAAAUUCAGAAUGGAAAUAAGAUGUACAUUUUUAACAGAGAAUAGUUAACCAUUGGAACCACUUACUAAGGGUUGUGGUGGAUUCUUCAUUUUAAAAUCAAGAUGGGAUGUUUUUCUAAAAUAUGCUCUAGGAAUUAUUUUGAGGAAGUUCUAUGGUCAGUGUUAUACAGGAGGGCAAAAUAGAUGAUCACACUGAUCCCUUCUGGUCUUAGAAUCUAUGAAUUAUCUGUGACCAGAAAAAGUUUCAACUCCACCUAAUAAUUUUGUUGACUGGGGGGAAACAAAAAAGUGCAUUACUAGACCUGUUUGUAUUCAGGGAAUUGUGUCAAACUGACCCUGAUGAGCCAAGGUAGAGCCAAGCUCAGGGAUAAUAGUCCUAAAUUAUUUAUAUUAUCUUGCCUGGUACUGAUUUUGGAGUGACAGGCCUAUAAUGACCCAGAUUCCUCCUGUUAACCCUUUCUAAAUAAUGGCACAGUAUUCGCUUACUUCCAGUCUUCUAAAACUUCUCCGGUGUUCCAAAACUUACUGAAAAUCAAUAUUAAUGGUGCAGUGAGCCUCUCAGCCAGCUCUUUAAAAACUCUUGGAUGCAAGUUAACUGGACCUGCUGAUUCAAAAAUGUCUAACUUUAAUAGCUGCUAUUAACAUCCUCCUAUGAUACCAGUGAAAUGGAAAGUGUGUCGUCAUAUGGUGAGAUUGUUAUGGGUUUCCCCCCCCCAAUACAGAACAGAAAUAUUUAUUGAACACUUAUGCUUUUUUUGCCUUAUAUUGACCAAUUCUACCAUUUCCAUCUAGUAAUGGACCAGUACCUUUGUUAGGAUUCUUUUUUGUUCCCAAUAUACUUUUAAAUUCUUUCUUAUUGUCCUCACAUCUGCUGGUCAUAGACUACUCCUGGGGGAAUUCGACACCUAAAAAUAUUUUAAAAUGCUUCAAAUUUUAUUUGUCAAAAUAACACCACAUAAUCACGCCGGUUUCAAUUAUUUUGGUAAUUUAUUUCAAAAUACCUGUCAGCAAGUAUGUCUUUAAUAAAAAUUUCCCCAUGAGUAGAGAGUUAAAGAAACCCUUAUGACAACCCAGUUCCUGUUUCUCUGCCCCCCUCCCCCACAGAACCCAGCUAGGGGGCCAGAUAUCCACAACCCCUCCUGCCAGAGCCCAGCUGUGGCCCCCCCAGCCAAUACAUCCAAACUCCCUCCCCCCAGAGGUCAGAUGUGGGGCACCCCUUUUCCAGGUACCCGCACCCCCUACCUGCAGAGCCCAGCCACAGGGCCACCCCUAGCCCAGACACCUGCCCUCAGAGCCCAGGGAUCCAGAGGGAGAAACAGCCUGAUGCUUGGUCCCAGGCUUGUGUAGCGUUUCCUGUGCGCUGCCGUCUCCUUCUCUCAGAGCGGGCGGGGAACUGUGGCUGCCGGGUACCCUCCAGCUCCUCCUCCCCUUCCUCCUGGCAGUGUCUUCUAUGUGUGAGCUGGGCUCUGCCAGGUCCAGUGGCCCCUGGUGGUGGCUUGCAGCACUGCAGCCCAUUUCGGGGGGGGAGGAAAUUCUGCGUGCACAACAUUAAUUUCUGCAAAAUUCUGCAUUGUGCAGUGGCGCAGAAUUCCCCCAGAGUAAUACUUCUCCUUAUGACCCUUUGCUUCCAUUAUCAAUUUUCUACAAUUUCUAGCUUCUGAUUUAUAUUCAUUACUAUCAACUUCCCCUUUUUUCCAUUUGUUAUAACUUUUUGUAUUUUUUAUAGCUGCUGUCACUUCUUCCUUUCUAAACCAGGCAUUUUUUUAAUCAAUACGGCCUUCUUCCUCAAUUGCGGGAUUGUGGCUUUUUGGGAAUCUAGUAAAGUGUUUUUGAACAAUUCGCAAUAUCAUUCACUUUUUUCUGAUUAAAUUCCCACGCCUAGCUGAUUGAAGUUCUCUGUUGUCUCCUGGAUGUUGCCGGCUGUUUUCUUUAGUGGAGAUCUUUAUGAAAAACAGAAGGCACUGAAGGAAGCGAUGGUGGGGGUUGUUUUAAAUAGCCUCCUUGUCAAUCUUGGUCCUGUAACAUCAAUGGAAUGUAUCAGGAAUUUUCAUGAUCUGUUACAUAAAUUACUCUACACUUAGAUAUCUCAUUCUGCUCUGCAGAAAAGUGUUCUAUUGUUAACCUGUUGACUGAUUACUGACAUAGUUGGUGUAUUCUCUCCUAGUUGUACUUGAUACCAGCAGUCUCCCUGGAUAUCAGAAGUACAUUGUUUAACUCUUUGAUUCAUCUUUUCUUAAAAUUAUAUUUUUCAUUUAAUAACCCCUAGAUUUUUAGUUUUCGUGGGUAAUUUCUGUUCAAGCUUUUCAAAUUGUAUCUGCAGCACAAACAAUCUCAUCUAUCAGGAUUUCUAAAUCACAUGUUAUAAACCUUCCUGUAGCAACUAAAUAAUACUGCAACAAGUCUAGCAUGAACUACGUCGGCAGACCACUUUCUUGAUCCUGCUCCUGUUUUAUGUUUUAACCCUCAUCUAUUCCUCCCCUGUUUCUCAGGUUCUUUAGGGAAUGCUUUGGCAAAGAGGAGUGAAGACGUACAGAAGGAUCUAUAGAGGACAAGCAUGAAAUUAUUAUUUCUUUCAGGAUUGUGCUUCACAGCCUAGGACAGCUGUAAAGAAGGCUCUAUCUCCCACUCCCUCAGGUUUAUUUCUGGGCUUUUUUUGUGUGUUAAAUGGGCACAAGUGUGUCUUUAACAGAGGCAGGCAUUUAGGCUAGUUUGGGCUUGUCCCACUCAGCCAAGAAAGGGUUCAUCUUUUCUCUCCCAAGCCCAAGUGAAUGGUUUGUGUUUAAAAGUGAUCUGCUGAAACUUGAGGGGGUGGUAUUUUUUAUUGCAACGUAGAUGAAAUGAACUGACAAAUCUUAGUUUCAGGAUUUUGCAUUUCAGUGGUCUAACCCUCAACUAAGGAGAUGUUUUUAAUGGCUGAAAAGGGGCUGGUAGAGUUCCAGCUGGAAAAUCACUGGGAGAAGAAUGGAAUUAUACAAAAUAAUUUUAGUAAUCAGGCCCAGUUAUGUAUGGCUCUUCAUUACUUCAGCUUUUAGCAAACGAAACGGAGUGAUUCACCCAGAUUGGCAGAUUAGGUAGGAUAAAGGCAGCUAUUUUAAAAUAUACAUUUCUAGGAAGUAACUGAAUAGGGAGACUUUUGGAACUCUGGGAAAUGUUAUUUUGGGAUGGGCCUUAGGAGGAGUACCCAAACUGAAAAGCUAAGUGUUAUUUUGAACAUUAUUCAAAGCCAGUUUAAAAAACUUGAACCUUGCUUGGUUAGCCAGCGUGGAAGUAGUCACACCAUGUUGGAAAUGUGUUUUGUAAUGGUUUUUAUUGUUCUGAAGAAACUGGGUUGUCCUCCCCAAAUUAUAGAAUAUCAUUCAUUCCAUCAAGGUAUGAGAGCAACUGUAGUGUAUGAAAACAUAGACUCAAAUGCCUUUAACAUUAACAACGGGGUGAAAUGGGUGUCUCUUACUUAGCCUCUGGGCUCUUUAACAUCUACUACAUCAUUCCUUCUUCUUCAUGCAUUUAAGGACAGCAAUGAUGGCAUUUAUUUGCAAACUAGACUAGAGGGAGGCUUGUUCAAUAUCACUCAGUUUAGAGGGAAAGCCAAGGAGAGAAAGCUGGUUCUGAGAGAUUUCCCGUUUGCAGGAGACGCAGCCUUGGUUACCCACAGUCAAUCUUCCCUGAAAAAUCUCUUUGGUAGAUUUUCUGUGUUAUGCAAGAGCUUCGGCUCUUCGCCUUAACAAUUAGUUUCAAGAAGACUGAUUGUAUACUGAAGGGUGGAAGAACCAAUACCUGACAUCACUCUGGAGGGUAAAUCUCUUGGCAUCGUCAACAGCUUUUGCUAUGAUUGGCAGGAAUCUUGACCCUCAGACUGAGCUAACAGGAUUGGAAAAGCAGCUAAGAAUUUUGGGCUGUUAGUCAACAGUUUUCUGUUAUUCCAUGCACGUUUCUCUGAGGUGAAGAUGCGAAUCUACGAGAGCACUUGUGUGCUGUCAGAAAUGUGGGCUACAUGUGGUAGGCACAGCAGGAGACUGAAUAGCUGCCACAUGAGAUGCCUACACAAGAUCCUGGAAAUUAAGUGGGAAGACAAAAUACCAAACACAGAAGUGCUGGAGUGUGCAGGACUGACACACAGAAACCACUAUCAAGAAGAGGAGGUUGCGAUGGCUCAGUCAUGUCGGAAGACUGGGAGGAGACCGUAUCCCCAAGAAUAUUUUGUAAAGCGAGUUUUGAGAUGGCUCUAAAUAGUGGUCGCCUUUUAUGGUAGUACCACAAUGUGUGCAAAAAUUAUGUGAAGUCGUUCAACAUCAGCGUAGAAAGCUGGGAGGAGUGAGCAGAACCCUGUCCAAUCUGGAGGGACACUCUGGCAAUGGGUGCAGCUCCUCAUGAAGCAGCUUUGACCCAGAGGAUGAAAGCAAAGUGAGAAAGAAGGAAGUGUGCUGUAAUCUUGGACUCCAACUCAGACAACGCCUGGAUCUGAAAUUUGUAACAAGCUGUGUCACGCUCGCAUUGGACUUGUCAGCCAUAAGUUGAUUCAUCAAGGCACAUGACUGGAUCAGUGGUUGCCUAUGGUAGGUCAGUGUGGAUGGAUCUGAACAAUGUUCUGUCAAACGCUAUAAUACUUCCUUUUAGUUGGAAGUGUCUUCAGUUUAAACAGCUGCAAACGUGGUUUAAAGAUAGGAGCCUACCCGCAUUGGGCUAAUGAUCCUUACAUGCUGUUUGGCUCUUUUCAGUUUCCAGGACAAGCAGGGGCUCAGUAAUAGAAGAGUAUUUAAUGCUGUCCUAUUCACGAACCUACAUUUUGAGACCGUGACCAUUUUGCAACAACAAAAAAAUUGACUUAACGUUCUGUAGUUAAGACGGUGUCCAUUAAGGACAAAGAGUGAUUAGUAAUAGGAUAUUUUGGGAGACGGGAGAGAUUCCAGAAGACUGGAAAAGGGCAAAUAUAGUGCCCAUCUAUAAAAAAAAAAAAAAAAAAAAAGGAAAUAAAAACGACCCAGGAAACUACAGACCAGUUAGUUUAACUUCUGUGCCAGGGAAGAUAAUGGAGCAAGUAAUUAAGGAAAUCAUCUGCAAACACUUGGAAGGAAGAUGGUAAGGUGAUAGGGAAUAGCCAGCAUGGAUUUGUAAAGAACAAAUCCUGUCAAACCAAUCGGAUAGCUUUCUUUGAUAGGAUAACGAGUCUUGUGGUUAAGGGAGAAGCUGUGGAUGUGGUAUACCUAGACUUUAGUAAGGCAUUUGAUACAGUCUCGCAUGAUAUUCUUAUCGAUAUACUAGGCAAAUACAAUUUAGAUGGGGCUACUAUAAGGUGGGUGCAUAACUGGCUGGAUAACCCUACUCAGAGAGUUGUUGUUAAUGGUUCCCAAUCCUGUUGGAAAGGCAUAACGAGUGGGGUACCACAGGGGUCUGUUUUGGGACCGGCGCUGUUCAAUAUCUUCAUCAACGACUUAGAUAUUGGCAUAGAAAGUACACUUAUUAAGUUUGCAGAUGAUACCAAACUGGGAGGGAUUGCAACUGCUUUGGAGGACAGGGUCAUAAUUCAAAAUGAUCUGGACAAAUUGGAGAAAUGGUCUGAGGUAAACAGGAUGAAGUUUAACAAAGACAGAUGCACAGUGCUCCACUUAGGAAGGAGAAAUCAAUUUCACACAUACAGAAUGGGAAGAGACUGUCUAGGAAGGAGUACAGCAGAAAGGGAUCUAGGGGUUAUAGUGGACCACAAGCUAAAUAUGAGUCAACAGUGUGAUGCUGUUGCAAACAAAGCAAACAUAAUGCAUCCCAGAAUCAACAGGUGUGUUGUGAAGUCAUUCUUCCGCUCUACUCUGUGCUGGUUAGGCCUCAACUGGAGUAUUGUGUCCAGUUCUAGGCACCACAUUUCAAGAAAGAUGUGGAGAAAUUGGAGAGGGUCCAGAGAAGAGCAACAAGAAUGAUUAAAGGUCUUGAGAACAUGACCUACGAAGGAAGGCUGAAAGAAUUGGGUUUGUUUAGUUUGGAAAAGAGAAGACUGAGAGGGGACAUGAUAGCAGUUUUCAGGUAUCAAGGAGGGAGGAAACUUGUUCAUCUUAGCCCCUAAGGAUAGAACAAGAAGCAAUGGGCUUAAACUGCAGCAAGAGAGGGUUAGGUUGGACAUUAGGAAAAAGUUCCUAAUUGUCAGGGUGGAAUAAAUUGCCUAGGGAGGUUGUGGAAUCUCCAUCUCUGGAGAUAUUUAAGAGUAGGUUAGAUAAAUGUCUAUCAGGGAUGGUCUAGACAGUAUUUAGUCCUGCCAUGAGGGCAGGGGACUGGACUCGAUGACCUCUCGAGGUCCCUUCCAGUCCUAGAAUCUAUGAACUCUCAGUGCUUUUCUCAUAGCCCUUAAUUAUUUUUCUGGUACUGAGCAUUGUUCCCAUGAAAUCUUUUUUGAAGACUGCAAAGCUGUUUUCCGCCCCCAGAAGGUCAGUCCGUGGAACUGCAGACCUCUAGCCAGCAAGAUCAGAUGGACAGAUGUACUUCCUGUACCUAUGCUUUCUUCUUUAAAAACGGAUUUGCAUUCCUGGCAAAUCGCACAUGCAGAACUAGUAAACACCUAUGACUCUGUCUUUACAAAAGCUACAUCUGCAUCAGCAUGUCUGUAUUUAUAAGUACGUUGGUUUAAAAAAAAAUCCUGUGACAGGUGUAAUCACAAGUAAAAAAACAAAAAUAUGGGCCUAUUUUCACUAUUAUUGAAAGGAAGAGGGUGUGGCUGUACACACAUCUGGAUAUGAGACUGAGUGUUUACCCAGCACGUGGCAGCUAGCCUUCUGAAGUGUAAACAAACACUUACUAGAGGAUGAAAUCCUUCCGUCUCUGUAGCAUAUCCACCCCCUUUGUUGUCCAUAGUGAGGCUUUGGUUGGCUUAACUGUGUCUCUCAGGGGUGUGGAUUUUUCACACCCUUGAGUGAUGUACCUAGGUUGGCCUAAGCGUUAGGUGUAGACCAAGCCUCAGCCUGAAAUAAGGGACAAAGGCAAUGGAGGGGUUUGAAUGCCUCAGCUCAAAGUUUGGUGGUAUGUAAUAUGGAACAAGAAUCCUGUAACAACAUUUAGACUAAAAGAAGUGUGGAUAUUUACAUUGCAUGACCGUGAUAUUAGCUUGCCAUGCUAUUCAUUUUCUUUACGUACUGUACUUCCUAUAUAUGUUAAAUGGAUAACUCCUCACUUAAUGUCAUUUCGCUUAAAGUCGCAUUUUUCAGGAACAUAACUACGUUAAGUGAAUACAUUUUCCCUAUAAGAAUUAAUGCAAAUAGGGGGGGUUAGCUUCCAGGGAAAAUUUUUUUUUUUUGCCAGACAAAAGGCAUUAUAUAAAUUUAAAACUUAUACCUGUAUUAAAUUGCUUGUUUAAAAUUGUUUAAAACAAUUCAAUACUACAAUCAUCAUUGCGAGUAUGAAGCUUGGGUUGAAGUGGCGGAGUCAGAGGGUGGAUUGUCCGGCUGCUCCUCUUGCUGAACUUUCUGAACUUGAAAAAACACAUCUAGAGAUUGUUUGUUUUGCUUUCCUUUUUUUUCUUCUUGGUAAAUUUCUUUAUAGCAAGACAUUAGAUGACCAACUCUCCCAAUCACUUGGGAGCUGCGUUCCGUCAGGAUCGUCAUCACUCAGGAUUUGCAAGUCAACCUUAACCCAUCUCUUCUCUCCCCCACCCCCUUUACUCUGCACAUUGCAUCCUUGCUCCUCUCUCCUGCCAGCAGCAAACCAGCUGAUUGCCCCUGGCAGGUGCGUGGGGGGCUGCCAGCUGUGGGCAAAGCAGGCAGCUAAACGAUGUUAUAGCGAAGCAUUGCACAACUUAUAUAUAUAUAUAUAUAUAUAUAUAUAUAAAAUGGAGCAGGGACGCAAGAUUGAAACAACGUUAAGUGAGAGGACGUUAAGCGGGGAGUUGUUACUGGAUUUGCUAUAAUUCCACUUUGAUUUUCUUAAAUCAGGUAUCUUGCCAUUUUGAUAAUACACCUCUACCCUGAUAUAACGCUGUCCUCAGGAGCCAAAAAAUCUUACCGCAUUAUAGGUGAAACCGUGUUCUAUCAAACUUGCUUUGAUCUGCUGGAGUGCGCAGCCCCACUUUACCGUGUUAUAUAUAGACUUAUAUCCGAAUUCGUGUUUAUCAGGGGUACUUAUAUCUGACAUUCUAUAUGAUGACUAAUGCUGUUAUCUAAAGACUAAAGUUUGUCAGCACUUGCCAGUUUGCUCCCACAGCUGUGGCGUAUCGACUGCUGUAAUUUUAAAAAAAGCUUUUUUUUUUUUAUAGACUUUGAAGGCGUCUGUUUUUCUGUCUUAGAUGGUGGCCAUGCAGAGAUGUCUUCUUCUGGAAGCUGGUUUCACAUGGUGGCUUAGAUUUUCCCAUCUUUGUAUCUAGCACCAUUUGAAAUCAGUGUUCUAGGAGCAAGAAUUGCAGCAUGGGAAAAGAAGAUCCAAGAAGCAGCUUGCUAACUUCAUCAAAUGGGUCAACGAUUCAAGUUAGUUUUAGCCUGGUAAAUAACCAAACUGACACACACACAAGGGAUGCUUCAAAACUUGCCACUCAGGCUAUCUGUUUUACAAAUCCAACACUCAUAUUUAGAGUUGUUGCAAGGAAGAACUGCUUUAGAAUGUAUUUUUACCCAAUUAAGGAUAUGAGUAAUCCACAAAGGUACUUACUGAUUUCAAUAGGUUUUAAGUGUUUUCACUAUAGACACUUUUGAAGGAUGAGGAUCCACAAAGGUAACUUAAGCACUUAUUUAGCAGGUUGUGAAUACUGAAGAGCGAUUAGUACUAUAUCUAGAUAAGCAAUAUGGGAAGCUUAAGUGACUGGUAUGAUGGGUAACUUCAUAUAUCCAUUAGUGCCAUAAUAAAUCAUGGCAUUCAUUUUAGGGCCUGUUUUUCAGUAGUGAUAAAGUCAGUAAGAACUACAGGUACUCAGCAAGUCCUGAAAUUAUAACCCCUUCUCUUACCAGUAGGUGAUGGAAGCUCAUGUACCGAAUAUCAAGCUAUUUUCUUGAAAAAAGAAAGAUGUUACUGUUUAAAAAACAAAAAUUCAAGGACUACUUCUUUCCAAUAGCUCCUGUGACAAGUAAAGCCAUAACCCUCCCAUAUUUAAUGCAGACCACUGAAGAUACUGAGUUCUAAGGUAGUUUGAAGAAACUAGCCUGACUAUUUUUCAGAGGCUUGUGUGUCCAGAAGCAUCCAGUCAAACCAUUGGUACAGCAGUUUUUUCCUCAAACGGACCUGUGGCUGUGACAACCCCCCCUUCUUUGAGCUGGGAAAAUCUCUCUUACACAGGCUGACCGAUCUCUCUUGGUGUUCAGAGUUUCAGUUUUUGUCUAGCACCAUUUGAAAUCGGUUAUGAUGUAGGGGGAAAAGCAACACUAUAGGUGCUUGUGGAGAGGGGAAAAACUGAGUUUCCAUUAUUCACAUCAUGGAGAUCCCAAAAUGCUGUCAGCAAAAGUAUCAUCUUGCUCUGUGUGUAUUAAUGUAAUAUUUGUGCUUGUAUUCUGUUGAACUGGAAGGAAUAGGGUUUGGUUCACCCACAUGGUAGUGCAGAUUCUUCCUGUUCAGUGGACAAGGAGGUGCUGCUGUGUAUAUUCUAAAAUAAAAAAAUAAAAAAAACUA
Malaclemys terrapin pileata is the source of this 10918-nucleotide long non-coding RNA. RefSeq lists it as uncharacterized. The record is from RefSeq and is a predicted model, not a curated record. The transcript is spliced from 5 exons. NCBI's taxonomy places the organism in Eukaryota, Metazoa, Chordata, Testudines, Emydidae.